Molecule: unclassified non-coding RNA, 352 nt
Filed under: plant metagenome
Description: partial contains small subunit ribosomal RNA, internal transcribed spacer 1, and 5.8S ribosomal RNA
Source: RNAcentral
UUUCCGUAGGUGAACCUGCGGAAGGAUCAUUAUAAAUGAAAAACGAAUAACUUCAGGGAAGAAGGGAACCUGCACGGUGACCUCCCCUGUCGGGCCACCCAAUACCUUCAAAGUGCCGCCGUCCUAGCGGUGGCAGACGAAAAAAAAACAAGAAAAACAAAAUAGAGACAGGCACGGUGGCCCGUUCACCUUCACACAACCCUCCGAGUACCGCUUCCAUGUUGCUUCCCCGCAAAUCCACCUCUUUGGUGAGCGCGGGGGAGGUCCGCACCAAAUUCACCUGAAUGUCACAGCAGUCAGACAGCCAUUCAUGGAAACAAUAAAACUUUCAACAACGGAUCUCUUGGUUCCC